Molecule: ribosomal RNA, 465 nt
Filed under: Vreelandella stevensii
Lineage: Bacteria; Pseudomonadati; Pseudomonadota; Gammaproteobacteria; Oceanospirillales; Halomonadaceae
Description: partial 16S ribosomal RNA
Rfam family: Bacterial small subunit ribosomal RNA
Source: RNAcentral
CCUACGGGGUGCUGCAGUGGGGAAUAUUGGACAAUGGGCGAAAGCCUGAUCCAGCCAUGCCGCGUGUGUGAAGAAGGCCUUCGGGUUGUAAAGCACUUUCAGUGGGGAAGAAAGCCUUGGGGCUAAUACCCUCGAGGAAGGACAUCACCCACAGAAGAAGCACCGGCUAACUCCGUGCCAGCAGCCGCGGUAAUACGGAGGGUGCGAGCGUUAAUCGGAAUUACUGGGCGUAAAGCGCGCGUAGGCGGUCUGAUAAGCCGGUUGUGAAAGCCCCGGGCUCAACCUGGGAACGGCAUCCGGAACUGACAGGCUAGAGUGCAGGAGAGGAAGGUAGAAUUCCCGGUGUAGCGGUGAAAUGCGUAGAGAUCGGGAGGAAUACCAGUGGCGAAGGCGACCUCCUGGACUAACACUGACGCUGAGGUGCGAAAGCGUGGGUAGCAAACAGGAUUAGAUACCCCGGUAGUC